GCACGGCGUGCUCAUCACGGUCGACCCGCACGCGCCAUUAGUUGAGUGUGUUCCGUUGGUGUGGACGCAGUUCUACGUUUCUCUGUUUACCUGUGUGCUGGAGUGCCGUCGGCCAUCUUCCAAUUGUAAUUGAAGAAAUGCCAGUGAGAUUAAGUGACGUUCAUGAGUUACAAUGCACAGGGUGAGAGUUCAUGGGAAUUCGACCAGCAACCCGCUAAGGUGGACUAAGACGACAGCUGGACUGAAAUAUGCAGAAC
Dalotia coriaria is the source of this 257-nucleotide long non-coding RNA. RefSeq lists it as uncharacterized. The record is from RefSeq and is a predicted model, not a curated record. The transcript is spliced from 3 exons. NCBI's taxonomy places the organism in Eukaryota, Metazoa, Arthropoda, Insecta, Coleoptera, Staphylinidae.